CCGGUGCGGCUCGGGUGUUGAUCCGCCGGUCCCCUCCGCUCCCCUCCCCCGUCUCCUCCGGCCCGGCAGAGCCAUGUCUCGGGGUGGCUCCUGCCCACACCUGUUGUGGGACGUGAGGAAAAGGUCGCUCGGGCUGGAGGACCCGUCCCGGCUGCGGAGCCGCUACCUGGGAAGAAGAGAAUUUUUCCAAAGAUUAAAACUUGAAGCCACCUUAAAUGUGCAUGAUGGCUGUGUUGAUACAAUCUAUCUGUUGGAAUGACGCUGGAGAAUAUAUUUUAUCUGGCUCAGAUGACACCAAAUUAGCAAUUAGUAAUCCUUAUAUCAGAAAGGUUUUGACAACAUUCCUUCGGGGCAUCGAGCAAAUAUGUUUAGUGCAAAGUUCUUACCUUGCACGAAUGAUAAACAGAUUGUGUCCUGCUCCGGAGAUGGAGUGAUAUUUUAUACCAAUGUGGAGCAAGAUGCGGAAAGUAACAGGCAGUGCCAGUUUACGUGCCAUUAUGGAACUACGUAUGAGAUCAUGACUGUACCAAAUGACCCUUACACUUUUCUGUCUUGUGGUGAAGACGGGACUGUCCGGUGGUUUGAUACCCGCAUCAAAACUAGCUGCACCAAGGAAGACUGCAAAGAUGUAAGAAUUCAACUUUUGUACAGUAUGAUGCAGAGUAAACUAAGAUUAUAUUUGGAUUGUAAAUUAUUUCUUAGUAAUGAAAUUAUGAAUUAAUAUUUUAAAACUUAUUUUGAAGGCCCGACAAGAUAAC
Molecule: long non-coding RNA, 758 nt
Organism: Ochotona curzoniae (black-lipped pika)
Lineage: Eukaryota; Metazoa; Chordata; Mammalia; Lagomorpha; Ochotonidae
Exons: 5
Source: RefSeq, a predicted model, not a curated record